RNAcentral lists this ribosomal RNA (468 nucleotides) under uncultured bacterium. RNAcentral describes it as "partial 16S ribosomal RNA". It matches the Rfam family "Bacterial small subunit ribosomal RNA", at positions 28 to 507 of the family's 1533-position model. The record is from RNAcentral.
GACGAACGCUGGCGGCGUGCUUAACACAUGCAAGUCGAACGGAAAGGCCCUGCUUUUGUGGGGUGCUCGAGUGGCGAACGGGUGAGUAACACGUGAGUAACCUGCCCCUGACUUUGGGAUAACUUCAGGAAACUGGGGCGAAUACCGGAUAGGAGCUCCUGCUGCAUGGUGGGGGUUGGAAAGAUUCGGCGGUUGGGGAUGGACUCGCGGCUUAUCAGCUUGUUGGUGGGGUAGUGGCUUACCAAGGCUUUGAAGGGUAGCCGGCCUGAGAGGGUGACCGGCCACAUUGGGCCUGAGGUACGGCCCAGACUCCUACGUGAGGCAGCAGUGGGGAAUAUUGCACAAUGGGCGGACGCCUGAUGCAGCAACGCCGCGUGCGGGAUGACGGCCUUCGGGUUGUAAACCGCUUUCGCCUGUGACGAAGCGUGAGUGACGGUAAUGGGUAAAGAAGCACCGGCUAACUACGUG